CGUAACUUCGGGAGAAGGCACGCUGAUAUGUAGGUGAAGCGACUUGCUCGUGGAGCUGAAAUCAGUCGAAGAUACCAGCUGGCUGCAACUGUUUAUUAAAAACACAGCACUGUGCAAACACGAAAGUGGACGUAUACGGUGUGACGCCUGCCCGGUGCCGGAAGGUUAAUUGAUGGGGUCAGCGCAAGCGAAGCUCUUGAUCGAAGCCCCGGUAAACGGCGGCCGUAACUAUAACGGUCCUAAGGUAGCGAAAUUCCUUGUCGGGUAAGUUCCGACCUGCACGAAUGGCGUAAUGAUGGCCAGGCUGUCUCCACCCGAGACUCAGUGAAAUUGAACUCGCUGUGAAGAUGCAGUGUACCCGCGGCAAGACGGAAAGACCCCGUGAACCUUUACUAUAGCUUGACACUGAACAUUGAGCCUUGAUGUGUAGGAUAGGUGGGAGGCUUUGAAGUGUGGACGCCAGUCUGCAUGGAGCCGACCUUGAAAUACCACCCUUUAAUGUUUGAUGUUCUAACGUUGACCCGUAAUCCGGGUUGCGGACAGUGUCUGGUGGGUAGUUUGACUGGGGCGGUCUCCUCCUAAAGAGUAACGGAGGAGCACGAAGGUUGGCUAAUCCUGGUCGGACAUCAGGAGGUUAGUGCAAUGGCAUAAGCCAGCUUGACUGCGAGCGUGACGGCGCGAGCAGGUGCGAAAGCAGGUCAUAGUGAUCCGGUGGUUCUGAAUGGAAGGGCCAUCGCUCAACGGAUAAAAGGUACUCCGGGGAUAACAGGCUGAUACCGCCCAAGAGUUCAUAUCGACGGCGGUGUUUGGCACCUCGAUGUCGGCUCAUCACAUCCUGGGGCUGAAGUAGGUCCCAAGGGUAUGGCUGUUCGCCAUUUAAAGUGGUACGCGAGCUGGGUUUAGAACGUCGUGAGACAGUUCGGUCCCUAUCUGCCGUGGGCGCUGGAGAACUGAGGGGGGCUGCUCCUAGUACGAGAGGACCGGAGUGGACGCAUCACUGGUGUUCGGGUUGUCAUGCCAAUGGCACUGCCCGGUAGCUAAAUGCGGAAGAGAUAAGUGCUGAAAGCAUCUAAGCACGAAACUUGCCCCGAGAUGAGUUCUCCCUGACUCCUUGAGAGUCCUGAAGGAACGUUGAAGACGACGACGUUGAUAGGCCGGGUGUGUAAGCGCAGCGAUGCGUUGAGCUAACCGGUACUAAUGAACCGUGAGGCUUAACCUU
RNAcentral lists this ribosomal RNA (1219 nucleotides) under Escherichia coli. RNAcentral's name for it is "partial 23S ribosomal RNA". It matches the Rfam family "Bacterial large subunit ribosomal RNA", at positions 1729 to 2925 of the family's 2925-position model. Lineage: Bacteria; Pseudomonadati; Pseudomonadota; Gammaproteobacteria; Enterobacterales; Enterobacteriaceae. The record is from RNAcentral.